Molecule: ribosomal RNA, 2513 nt
Filed under: human vaginal metagenome
Description: bacterial LSU rRNA
Rfam family: Bacterial large subunit ribosomal RNA
Source: RNAcentral
UCAAGAAACUAAGGGCGCAAGGCGGAUGCCUUGGCACCAGGAGGCGACGAAGGACGUGACAAGCAACGAAAACCUCGAGUAGGAGCAAAUAUCCAGUGACUCGGGGGAAUCCGAAUGGGGAAACCUACUAGACACACUCUAGUAUCCAUACGUAAAUACAUAGCGUAUGGAAGCGAAUGUUCUGAACUGAAACAUCUAAGUAGGAACAAGAAAAGAAAGAAAACUCGAUUCUCCAAGUAGCGGCGAGCGAACAGAGAACAGCCCAUUAAAGUAAGACUAAACUGAUAGACAAAUCUUAUGGAAAGAAGAACCAAAGAAAGUAACAGUCUUGUAGUCGAAAUCAGAAUAGAGACACUUUAAGAAGAGUACCACGGAGCACGUGAAAUUCUGUGGGAAGAUAGGGGGACCACCCCCUAAGGCUAAAUACUACCUGGUGACCGAUAGCGAAUAGUACCGUGAGGGAAAGGUGAAAAGAACCCCGGGAGGGGAGUGAAAUAGAACCUGAAACCUUGCGCCUACAAGCAGACAGAGGAAGAAGACUUCUAAUGUCGUACUUUUUGUAGAACGGGCCAGCGAGUUACGAUACGUAGCAAGAUUAAACAUUUAAGAUGUGAAGUCGUAGGGAAACCGAGUCUUAAUAGGGCAAAAGUUGCGUGUUGUAGACCCGAAACCGGGUGAUCUAUCCAUGGGCAGAGUGAAGGUAAAGUAAAAUUUACUGGAGGCUCGAACCGGGUAGCGUUUAAAAGCUAUCGGAUGACCUGUGGAUAGGGGUGAAAAGCCAAUCGAACUCGGAUAUAGCUGGUUCUCCUCGAAAUAGCUUUAGGGCUAGCCUUGUUUUAGAUUACAGGAGGUAGAGCACUGAAUAGUCUAGGGGAAGUAAUUCUACCGAAACUUAUCAAACUCCGAAUGCCUGAAAAUCGAUGAACAGGAGUCAGACCAUGAGGGAUAAGCUUCAUAGUCAAAAGGGAAACAGCCCAGACCACCAGUUAAGGUCCCAAAAUACAGAUUAAGUGGGAAAGGAUGUAAUACUACUCAGACAACCAGGAUGUUGGCUCAGAAGCAGCCAUACAUUUAAAGAGUGCGUAAUAGCUCACUGGUCAAGUGGUAAUGCGCCGAAGAUGAACGGGGCUAAAUCUGAUACCGAAACUGUGGGAUAGAAAAGCAAUUAUGCGAGAAGUAUGNNNNNNNNNNNNNNNNAAACAAAAUUUGUGAAAACACAAAGCGUAAAACUAUUAAACGAUACAAUUUCUAAAACACUUAACAACAUACAACUGGCAUAAUAGCUUUUCUAUCGGUAGAGGAGCGUUGUAUAUGAGAAGAAGCAAAAAGCGUAAGCAAUUGUGGAUUAUAUACAAGUGAGAAUGCUGGCAUGAGUAGCGAAAAGGGAUGUGAGAAUCAUCCCCGUCGAAAGCCCAAGGAUUCCUGAGCAAGGCUCGUCCUCUCAGGGUAAGUCGGGACCUAAGGCGAGGCCGAAAGGCGUAGUCGAUGGACAACAGGUAGAAAUUCCUGUACUACAAGAUUGUGAUUGAGAGAAGUACUGACGCAGAAGGAAAAGUCGAGCGUGCGAAUGGUUGUGCACGUCCAAAUAACAAGCCAGAAUAUACAGGCAAAUCCGUAUAUUCGUCAACGUAAGUUAUGAUGGGGAGCAGAAAGAUGCGAAGCGACAGAUUCAAACUGCCAAGAAAAGGUGCUAUCGAAUAAUCUUGUACCCGUACCGCAAACCGACACAGGUAGGCAAGAAGAGAAUUCUAAGACGCGCGGAAGAACCUUUGUUAAGGAACUCGGCAAAAUAAUCCCGUAAGUUAGCGAGAAGGGAUGCCUAAGAAAUUAGGUCGCAGAGAAUAGGCCCAAGCGACUGUUUACCAAAAACACAAGUAUCUGCUAAAUCGAAAGAUGAAGUAUAGGUGCUGACACCUGCCCGGUGCUGGAAGGUCAAGGGGACUUGUUAGAGCAAUCGAAGCAACGAACUUAAGCCCCAGUAAACGGCGGCCGUAACUAUAACGGUCCUAAGGUAGCGAAAUUCCUUGUCGGGUAAGUUCCGACCCGCACGAAAGGUGUAACGAGAUGCGACUUACCCACGGUAGGACGGAAAGACCCCGUGGAGCUUUACUGCAGGUUGACAUUGAAUUUUGGGAUUAAAUGUACAGGAUAGGUGGGAGACGAAGAAGCAAGCUCGCCAGAGUUUGCAGAGUCACUGUUGGGAUACCACCCUUUUAAUUCUAAAGUUCUAACUAGUUACCAUGAAGCUGGUAAUAGGACACUGUCAGUCGGGCAGUUUGACUGGGGCGGUCGCCUCCAAAAAAGUAACGGAGGCGUUCAAAGGUUCGCUCAGAAUGGUUGGAAAUCAUUCAAAGAGUACAAAGGCAAAAGCGAGCUUAACUGCGAGACAUACAGGUCGAGCAGAGACGAAAGUCGGACUUAGUGAUCCGGUGGUACCGAGUGGAAGGGCCAUCGCUCAACGGAUAAAAGCUACCCCGGGGAUAACAGGCUUAUCUCCCCCAAGAGUCCACAUC